This 482-nucleotide ribosomal RNA is filed under the name uncultured bacterium. Its description in RNAcentral is "partial 16S ribosomal RNA". It matches the Rfam family "Bacterial small subunit ribosomal RNA", at positions 28 to 507 of the family's 1533-position model. The record is from RNAcentral.
GAUGAACGCUGGCGGCGUGCCUAAUACAUGCAAGUCGAACGCUUCACUUCGGUGAAGAGUGGCGAACGGGUGAGUAAUACAUAAGUAACCUGGCAUCUACAGGGGGAUAACUGAUGGAAACGUCAGCUAAGACCGCAUAGGUGUAGAGAUCGCAUGAACUCUAUAUGAAAAGUGCUACGGGACUGGUAGAUGAUGGACUUAUGGCGCAUUAGCUUGUUGGUAGGGUAACGGCCUACCAAGGCGACGAUGCGUAGCUGACCUGAGAGGGUGACCGGCCACACUGGGACUGAGACACGGCCCAGACUCCUACGGGAGGCAGCAGUAGGGAAUUUUCGGCAAUGGGGGAAACCCUGACCGAGCAACGCCGCGUGAAGGAAGAAGUAAUUCGUUAUGUAAACUUCUGUCAUAGAGGAAGAACGGUGGAUAUAGGGAAUGAUAUCCAAGUGACGGUACUCUAUAAGAAAGCCACGGCUAACUACGUG